GACGAACGCUGGCGGCGUGCCUAAUACAUGCAAGUAGGACGCUGAAGGAGGAGCUUGCUCUUCUGGAUGAGUUGCGAACGGGUGAGUAACGCGUAGGUAACCUGCCUGGUAGCGGGGGAUAACUAUUGGAAACGAUAGCUAAUACCGCAUAACAGUAGAUGUUGCAUGACAUUUGCUUAAAAGGUGCAAUUGCACCACUACCAGAUGGACCUGCGUUGUAUUAGCUAGUUGGUGGGGUAACGGCUCACCAAGGCGACGAUACAUAGCCGACCUGAGAGGGUGAUCGGCCACACUGGGACUGAGACACGGCCCAGACUCCUACGGGAGGCAGCAGUAGGGAAUCUUCGGCAAUGGACGGAAGUCUGACCGAGCAACGCCGCGUGAGUGAAGAAGGUUUUCGGAUCGUAAAGCUCUGUUGUAAGAGAAGAACGAGUGUGAGAGUGGAAAGUUCACACUGUGACGGUAUCUUACCAGAAAGGGACGGCUAAUUACGUG
Molecule: ribosomal RNA, 495 nt
Filed under: uncultured bacterium
Lineage: Bacteria
Description: partial 16S ribosomal RNA
Rfam family: Bacterial small subunit ribosomal RNA
Source: RNAcentral